CCUACGGGCGGCAGCAGUGAGGAAUAUUGGUCAAUGGACGAAAGUCUGAACCAGCCAUGCCGCGUGCAGGAUGACGGCUCUAUGAGUUGUAAACUGCUUUUGUAUUAGGGUAAACACCCCUACGUGUAUCGGGUUGAAAGUAUCGUACGAAUAAGGAUCGGCAAACUCCGUGCCAGCAGCCGCGGUAAUACGGAGGAUUCAAGCGUUAUUCGGAGUUAUUGGGUUUAAAGGGUGCGUAGGCGGUUGGAUAGUUAGAGGUGAAAUCCCAGGGCUCAACCUCGGCACUGCCUCUGAUACUGUCGGGCUAUAGUUUAGUUGCGGUAGGCGGAAUGUAUGGUGUAGCGGUGAAAUGCAUAGAGAUCAUACAGAACACCGAUUGCGAAGGCAGCUUACCAAACUACGACUGACGUUGAGGCACGAAAGCGUGGGGAGCAAACAGGAUGAGAUACCCUUGUAGUC
RNAcentral lists this ribosomal RNA (459 nucleotides) under uncultured bacterium. Its description in RNAcentral is "partial 16S ribosomal RNA". It matches the Rfam family "Bacterial small subunit ribosomal RNA", at positions 338 to 795 of the family's 1533-position model. The record is from RNAcentral.